This 465-nucleotide ribosomal RNA is filed under the name Vreelandella stevensii. RNAcentral describes it as "partial 16S ribosomal RNA". It matches the Rfam family "Bacterial small subunit ribosomal RNA", at positions 338 to 795 of the family's 1533-position model. Lineage: Bacteria; Pseudomonadati; Pseudomonadota; Gammaproteobacteria; Oceanospirillales; Halomonadaceae. The record is from RNAcentral.
CCUACGGGGGGCAGCAGUGGGGAAUAUUGGACAAUGGGGGCAACCCUGAUCCAGCCAUGCCGCGUGUGUGAAGAAGGCCCUCGGGUUGUAAAGCACUUUCAGUGAGGAAGAACGCCUGGUGGUUAAUACCCAUCAGGAAAGACAUCACUCACAGAAGAAGCACCGGCUAACUCCGUGCCAGCAGCCGCGGUAAUACGGUGGGUGCGAGCGUUAAUCGGAAUUACUGGGCGUAAAGCGCGCGUAGGUGGCUUGAUAAGCCGGUUGUGAAAGCCCCGGGCUCAACCUGGGAACGGCAUCCGGAACUGUCAAGCUAGAGUGCAGGAGAGGAAGGUAGAAUUCCCGGUGUAGCGGUGAAAUGCGUAGAGAUCGGGAGGAAUACCAGUGGCGAAGGCGGCCUUCUGGACUGACACUGACACUGAGGUGCGAAAGCGUGGGUAGCAAACAGGAUUAGAUACCCUAGUAGUC